RNAcentral lists this ribosomal RNA (504 nucleotides) under uncultured bacterium. RNAcentral's name for it is "partial 16S ribosomal RNA". It matches the Rfam family "Bacterial small subunit ribosomal RNA", at positions 30 to 523 of the family's 1533-position model. The record is from RNAcentral.
AUUGAACGCUGGCGGCAGGCCUAACACAUGCAAGUCGGACGGUAGCACAGAGAGCUUGCUCUUGGGUGACGAGUGGCGGACGGGUGAGUAAUGUCUGGGGAUCUGCCCGAUAGAGUGGGAUAACCACUGGAAACGGUGGCUAAUACCGCAUAACGUCGCAAGACCAAAGAGGGGGACCUUCGGGCCUCUCACUAUCGGAUGAACCCGGAUGGGAUUAACUAGUAGGCGGGGUAAUGGCCCACCUAGGCGACGAUCCCUAGCUGGUCUGAUAGGAUGCCCAGCCACACUGGAACUGAGACACGGUCCCGACUCCUACGGGAGGCAGCAGUGGGGAAUAUUGCAAAAUGGGCGCAAGCCUGAUGCAGCCAUGCCGCGUGUAUGAAGAAUGCCUUCGGGUUGUAAAGUACUUUCAGCGGGGAGGAAGGCGGUGCGGUUAAUAACCGCGUCGAUUGACGUUACCCGCAGAAGAAGCACCGGCUAAUUCCGUGCCAGCCGCCGCCGUAA